CCUACGGGAGGCAGCAGUGGGGAAUAUUGGACAAUGGGGGCAACCCUGAUCCAGCCAUGCCGCGUGUGUGAAGAAGGCCCUCGGGUUGUAAAGCACUUUCAGUGAGGAAGAACGCCUGGUGGUUAAUACCCAUCAGGAAAGACAUCACUCACAGAAGAAGCACCGUCUAACUCCGUGCCAGCAGCCGCGGUAAUACGGAGGGUGCGAGCGUUAAUCGGAAUUACUGGGCGUAAAGCGCGCGUAGGUGGCUUGAUAAGCCGGUUGUGAAAGCCCCGGGCUCAACCUGGGAACGGCAUCCGGAACUGUCAAGCUAGAGUGCAGGAGAGGAAGGUAGAAUUCCCGGUGUAGCGGUGAAAUGCGUAGAGAUCGGGAGGAAUACCAGUGGCGAAGGCGGCCUUCUGGACUGACACUGACACUGAGGUGCGAAAGCGUGGGUAGCAAACAGGAUUAGAUACCCCAGUAGUC
This 465-nucleotide ribosomal RNA is filed under the name Vreelandella stevensii. RNAcentral's name for it is "partial 16S ribosomal RNA". It matches the Rfam family "Bacterial small subunit ribosomal RNA", at positions 338 to 795 of the family's 1533-position model. The record is from RNAcentral. Lineage: Bacteria; Pseudomonadati; Pseudomonadota; Gammaproteobacteria; Oceanospirillales; Halomonadaceae.